Molecule: ribosomal RNA, 487 nt
Filed under: uncultured bacterium
Lineage: Bacteria
Description: bacterial SSU rRNA
Rfam family: Bacterial small subunit ribosomal RNA
Source: RNAcentral
GAUGAACGCUAGCGGCAGGCCUAACACAUGCAAGUCAGGGGGUAACAUAGGAAAGCUUGCUUUUCUGAUGACGACCGGCGCACGGGUGCGCAACGCGUAUACAACCUACCUUUUAGCGGGGAAUAGCCCAGGGAAACUUGGAUUAAUGCCCCAUAGUAUAUAGACUUCUCCUGAAGUUUAUAUUAAACAUUUAUGGCUAUUAGAUGGGUAUGCGUCCUAUUAGUUAGUUGGUAAGGUAACGGCUUACCAAGGCAGCGAUAGGUAGGGGUCCUGAGAGGGAGAUCCCCACACUGGUACUGAGACACGGACCAGACUCCUACGGGAGGCAGCAGUGAGGAAUAUUGGACAAUGGGCGAGAGCCUGAUCCAGCCAUGCCGCGUGCAGGAAGACUGCCCUAUGGGUUGUAAACUGCUUUUACAGAGGAAGAACCACCCCCACGUGUGGGGGUUUGACGGUACUCUGCGAAUAAGGAUCGGCUAACUCCGUG